AGGACGAACGCUGGCGGCGUGCUUAACACAUGCAAGUCGAGCGGUAAGGCCUUUCGGGGUACACGAGCGGCGAACGGGUGAGUAACACGUGGGUGAUCUGCCCUGCACUCUGGGAUAAGCCUGGGAAACUGGGUCUAAUACCGGAUAUGACCUGCUCUCGCAUGGGGGGUGGGUGGAAAGAUUUAUCGGUGCAGGAUGGGCCCGCGGCCUAUCAGCUUGUUGGUGGGGUAAUGGCCUACCAAGGCGACGACGGGUAGCCGACCUGAGAGGGUGACCGGCCACACUGGGACUGAGACACGGCCCAGACUCCUACGGGAGGCAGCAGUGGGGAAUAUUGCACAAUGGGCGAAAGCCUGAUGCAGCGACGCCGCGUGAGGAUGAAGGCCUUGGGUUCGUAAACCUCUUUCAGCGAGGACGAAGCGCAAGUGACGGUACCUGCAAGAAGAAGCAACCGGCUAACUACGUGCCAGCAAGCCGC
This 478-nucleotide ribosomal RNA is filed under the name uncultured soil bacterium. RNAcentral describes it as "bacterial SSU rRNA". It matches the Rfam family "Bacterial small subunit ribosomal RNA", at positions 26 to 518 of the family's 1533-position model. The record is from RNAcentral.